This 39333-nucleotide long non-coding RNA is filed under the name Lactuca sativa (garden lettuce). RNAcentral's name for it is "long non-coding RNA (LSAT_LNC004669)". The record is from RNAcentral. Lineage: Eukaryota; Viridiplantae; Streptophyta; Magnoliopsida; Asterales; Asteraceae.
GGAAUAUUAUCUAGGAACUUAGGAUCACAUUGUCUUGUCACUUAUAGUAUGUCCUAAUUUUGUCACAAUCUCUCGUGUUUAAGUGGAUCACAAUACCAGCGAUUAACCAGAUCUAUUCAUGAAGGAGAGGUAUUGAUAAACGGAUAAAGGCUGUCUAAAAACUUUGAUCCCAAAUCACUCUUACAGUUAGCUAUUAUUUUUGUUUUUGUUAAGUUUGUUCAUAGUGUUCUUCUAAUUUAAAUAAAAGGGGGAGAAUUAAAAAAAACAAACAAACAAAAAUCAAAAAAUAGUUUUAUUUCUAUUUUACAUUUUGUUCUAACUUUUCUUUUAGUUUUGUUUUGUCUUGAAAAGUGAUUUCAGGUGAAGACGAAACCAUGGAGUUUGUGUUGAAGAUUUCUAAGCCAAAGCCUCGUCUGUGAGCAUCGAAGAAUUCUCAUUCGAAGGAGAAAGAAAUGAAGAUUAUUCUUCCAACAUUCAAUCCUUCAACCCCAGAAUCAAGGUGAAGCAGAAAAUGAAGAUUAUGUGACGGAUUGCAUUGAAGCCUCCUCAAUCAGUCUGUGGCUAUCGUUGUACCUACUGAAGUGAUCCAGAAGAUUUGUUCUCUCUGAUGUUCUCUCUGAAUAUUUUCAAGCUGAAAGCACCAUCUUUCAAGAAUCAGUACAAGAAGCCUCCUCACCCAAUGUGCGUUCAGAGUCAAAUCUUGAAGAAAAGCUCAACUACUUAAGAUGAAGUCAUUCAUUGAAGAUUCAUCAAGUUGAUCUUGAAGCUAUGAAGUCAUCGAAGAUUAAAGUUGAAGCCAAAGCUCCCAUUGAAGAUUAACAAGAAAAGUCAGCUACUUUUUUGGGGGAGCUUGUUGGGUCAUUUAGAAAAGAAACUUAUAAACCAAGGGGCGGAUUGUUGGGUCAAAAAUAUGGUUUGUAUUUUACUUUUCUAAGAAAAUGUAUUUUUGUGUCUUGGGCCGUAAACAACUUGGUGUUUACGGCCGUAAACCCAUUUACGGCCCAUGUUUCCCUUGUAUAUAUAUAGGUGUUAGGGUGAGNUAUAUAUAUAUAUGUAAACAUGUUUACGGCCGUAUACAUGUUUACAGCCGUAAACCCAUUUACGGCCCAUGUUUCCCUUGUAUAUAUAUAGGUGUUAGGGUGAGGAGUAUAUUUUGAUGAAACACAAGAAGGAGUGUACGGCCUAGAGAGAGAGAAGAACAAGUGUGUGUUAGUUAGUGUGUGAAUCUCUUCUAUCCGGAUCAUCAUUCUAUUUAUCAAUACAUUGAGAUUCAUAUUAUUCUUCUUCUCCUUCUCUUCUAUUUGAUCUGACAUCAUCCGUUGGAUUGGGAUUCCGCACCAUCAAAUGGAUCUGAUUGAUACACAGGCAUUUUGGGGACUUACAAAGACAAUCCUAGAUCCAAAGUUAUUUUUGCUCACAAAGGCACAAUACACGAAUUGGCCUUGGAAAUGGCCUAAAAAUGACAAAAUCUAACUAGGAAAGGGGAUCUAAAUGAAUAACAGUCAAGGUACGAGCUUCAUACCUUCCAAUGAUCUGAAAUAGCACACCAACAUAGAGUUCACUGCCACUUCUUGAAUCACCCAAGGUUCCUUUCUUCCUUUUAGCUUCAAAUCACCCAAAAAUGAUAAAGAAAGCUUCAGAGUACUACAAUGGAGGCUUAGGGUUUCGAGAGAAGGUAAAGGGAGUGAUGGAGGCUGGGGUGAAGGCCUGAAAUGAUGCUUAAAUAGGGCACCAAGACCGGAAAUCAGGGUUUCCCAACCCAAACCUGACUCGCCGAGUCAAUCCCUCCAACUCGCCGAGUCGGUCACUUAAAUCCCGACACGGAACUCGCUCCAACUCGUCGAGUUCACCAAUGGACUCGACCAGUUGACCCCUAUGACUUACGGUUUUCCUUUCCUUUCUUGGUCUUUCUGAUUCUGGGUGUUACAACUCUCCCCCACUUAAACUAAUCUUCGUCCUCGAAGUUUCUCUACGGCCAAUCGUUCUGCAAUCUGCUCUCAACACCCUGCCGGAAAAAUCUAACACCCGUUGACUACUUCUGUUGGCCUUUCGCCCGGUCAUGCAUACCAACGCUAAUUCUUGCAAUAACAAUCCUCAACCAUCCAAAUAACACGUCCUGAUCCAUUGGUAAUCCUUCCAGUGUUCCCCGAGCACUCAUACUGAACCCCUUAGGGUUCACUUCCCUUUGACUUGCGCGGUCACUAGCCUUCCCAAGGCAAAUUUCCAAAAAUGACAACCUCCUCUAAAACUGCGGGAACAUACCCUUUUUUGUGUGAAAAUGUGCUAGGUACCAAUCAAAUCCUAGAGAACCUCAUCUUACUGCUGUGAAGAAUAUUUUUCGCUAUCUCAAAGGAGCAGUUUCGUUUGCAUUGUGGUAUCCUUCGAAAACAGGGUUUUUCAUUCAAGCAUUCUCAGAUGCUGAUCUUGGUGGAUGCCAACUUGAUUGAAAAAGCACAAGUGGCAGAUGUCAACUCUUGGAUGGGAAGCUUGUGAGCUGGCAGUCGAAGAAACAAACAUGUGUUUCAAUUUCCACAGUAGAAGCAGAAUAUGUUGUUGCUGCAGCUUGCACUUCUUAAAUCAUAUGGAUUCAAAGUCAACUACGCGAUUAUGCAUCAACAUGAAGAAAAUUCUGUUGUAUUGUGAUUCACAAAGUGCCAUACGUAUUUGUCACAAUCCUAUGCAACAUUUGAAAACAAAGCACAUUGCUCUUCGCUAUCACUUUAUUAAAGAUCAUGUUAAAGAUGGCAACAUUGAAGUUCAUUUUGUAAAGACAACUCAUCAGCUUGCUGAUAUCUUUACAAAACCAUUAGAUGAAAAAUCUUUCGUAAGAAUUAUGAAUGGCUUAGGAAUGAUAGAUGCGAAUUCAGUUCCAGGACUGAUUUCGUUAGAAUGACAAGUCAAAGUAGUGGGAAUUUGUCAUUUCAGCAGUUAAUGUACCUUAUUCAGCGGUUACUAUUCACAGUCAAUGUUUCGACAUGUUUCACUUUCAACAUCAUGCACAAUGGUUUGACAAAAAUCUUCGCUAAUUUUGUCAUUAUCUUAUUUUUGCUAAGUCGGUACAUUUUCUUUUAUUGUUUACUAUUUUUUCUUUAAAAAUCAAAAACAACAAAAAUAUUUUCAUUUUUGUUUUUCAUCUUUAAAAUUCAAAAAUAUCAAAAAGAUUUUCUUAUUUUUGUAAUUUUUUUUCAAAAAACAAAAAUACAAAAAUAUUUUUUUUUCUUUUAAUCUUUCUUGUGUAGCUUUUAGCGAAGAUUUUUGAUGGUUCAUGCUUGCUGGUUGAGGGAAAGGUAUAUUUUCGAAACUAUGGAUUAGUUAAGAUGUCCCUAGAAGCAUGUUGUUGCAUAUCGACCAAAGCCUCCAUAACUCAAUGUGUUUCGAAGCCUUAAUGGAUUUCUCAUCAUGAGGAUUCCUACCCAAUCAGGCUAUAUUCACAUUACUUUCUAAGCUACCUUACUCUUCUCACAUGAGUUAAGAGUUAAUUUCUUGGUCCAAUCAUAGCAGAGGUACUUUCGAUUCUUGAACCACUCUUUUUCAUCCUAAAGUUCUUUCACGAUCACACACAAUGACACAUACCCAAGACAUUUCUGGUCAAAACAAACCAGGUUAUAGGUAUGUCAAUAUUUAGUGUUUAUGAUCUGGAUUCAUGAGACCAUGAUGAAAGUGAAACCCAAAGUUUCAAACUUUUAAAGGAAUUGACGGGGAACCUUAUUUCAGAUUUUAACAGAACUUUUAUUUUAGUACCACUUUUCGAUACUCCAAUUCAUAUUCAUUCUUUUUGCAUGGUCUAGAUAAAAUGUUCGAAACCCACGACAUUUUUACCCAACAAGAUCCUGGUAUAAUUUUGUUUUAUGAAAUAUGAUUUCAGUGUGAGUAUCAAUUUGAUUCUUCGUUACUUAAUAAAUUUUUCCAAAGCAUACUUGUCCCUGACUACACUGGUCAAAUAGGUAAUUUCGCUUACACAUUAUCACUCUUAUGUUUAGAUGUGAUAAGUAACGAAAUUUUUUAGCCACCCAUAACAUCGCAGGGAGGAAUGCCCACCUCUUACCAACCGGUGGUUGUCGGCCCUGGUUUGGUCAUUAAUCAAGAGGGUAAGAUGGUUGUGAACCCUAAUAAGGCUCCCUAUAACCUGAAGUACCUGAUUCCUUCCUUGUUUUUAAUUUACUUGAUCUUAUCAUAUGAUCAUGGAUUCACGGUUAAUAACUAAUAUAUAAUAGGUGUAUGUGCCUGUUGGGUGUGCCUAUAUGUUCUUUGUUUUUCACUUUCUUUGUUGUAUAUACUUUUUUUUAUCUAUUUAACUUUGAGAGUUUACUCUUUGCCCGAUGAAUUAAUUGCAUGCAUCUUUUUAGAAAUGCACAACCACUGUAUAAAUGUUGUCCUUUGUUUGUAGACUCAACUCUAAUAUGAAAAUUGAUGUUCUUUUUAGAAGCAAGACAUGUCCAGUAAUUUUCCUUUUGAGCUUUUCUAGUUCUUCCUGGAUCCCUUUUUUGAGCUUUAAGGCUGUAUUUUGUACAAACAUGAGUAUGAGUAGUUCCAACGUUAUUCUAUCUUUUUAUUGAGAAAUGAUAACUCCAACAAUUUCUUUGUUCUCAACGCUUCCCAAACGAAGCCUUAUAAAAAGAUGCCCUUCGAUACUUCUCAAUAAGUAUUCGAUUGUAAUUCACGUGAAACCACACAAGCUGUUAGUCAUCUCUCUUGAUGAAUAACACAGUGAUCUUUGCCUGGGAUCUCACUGCAUUUGUGUCAAAAAAAUUUUGACAUCACAGAACCAAAAUUUUCUUAUCUUUUUCUUUGGCACACUUUGCACUCACAAAAUCCUUGAGGUUCUGAGUAAAACCAACUCAGGCUGAAGAUUUCGCAAGUCUGGCAAAUGACUUCACUUUUAAACCCCCAAGUAAACAAGCCCAACCUCCAUUCCGAAGGUUUCAUUGUUUGUCCUUAUCUGUUAAAGUACUAUUGAAUAGAAAAAUGAUGUGACGUUUUGGUUGCCAUGCGAUUGCCAAGGCAAAAAGUGAUCAUUACUGUUCAGACGUGACUAUCUUUACGACUUUAAGCGCGAUUUUCAAGGUGAAAUAUGGCAUGAUCUUAAUUGCAACUGUUUGGAAAUCAAAUUGAGUGUACGUAUAAAAGGGGAUUUGGGGAUUCUAUUCCAAUUUUACGCUCACUUCAAAUUCUCAAAAGAUUUUUUAUUCUUUUCUCUCUAAUAUUCUUCUACUUCUUCAAAAACCUAACAAUAGCGGCUAAGCAAGGUCAACCGUCUCAAACAACUGAUGAUGUUUCUUCUCAACCCAUCAUGAAGAUUCAAAGCACAAGCUAUCAAGUUCAUGGAGAUGUCAAUGCUUAUCUAGAGGGUUUACAGAUGCUCAUAGUUGCUCUUCAAAAUUUUGUGUUGUCGACAACUAUGUUCAACUCGUUUUUCGUGCCACUUUCUUGGCUGUCACUUGUUGGUUCUACGGCCACUUACAGCAAGACAAUGAAGAUUGUGACAUUUCAGAUGGUGAAUGACAAGAAAUUCAGGUUAUCGAAGAAACUCUUUGCUCAAAUUCUAAAUAUCCCCAAUGUUGAACCUUUCUACAAGGUAACGAAUGAACAAGUCAUUAAUAUGUUCAAUGAGAUGGGUUAUCAACCUAUUCUUAUUAUGAUCAGUGACUUUAAGGAGUCUGUAUUGCCUUGCAUUUGGAACUUUUUAUUUGGUAUAUACCUUCGAUGCUUGACGGGUCGAAGUGUGGGAUUAGAUCAAGCUCGAUUGGAAGUUUAUGCUAUGGUGGCUGGAAUAUACUAUGAUUUAUCGGUGGAAUCAACAAUUCAACUAUGGGAUGAGUUUGUGAAGAGUAUUGGGAAUACAAAUGUAGUCGAUGGGAUUUCUUGAGCUUGCUAUUGGAGUCUUAUUCUGCAAUUUGUUUAUGAAAAGGAAGGCAUUAUGUUUCCAGAAGGUGAAGAAUCAGCAGAAUUCUCCACAUAUCACUAUCCCAAAACUGUCGAAGACAAUCCAGAUGUGUUUCCUACUGUUGCUCGUAUCCCAGAUGCGAUGCUUCACAAAGUUAAUACCUAAAACCCCAUAUUGGUAGCCUAUUUUCAUACCAUCAAUCAAAAUUGGAAUGUUGCUGCAAAAGUCGAAUGAAGGUCAUUCUAAGAAGCGCAGAGGAUCCAAGAAGGUUGAUCAGACUAGUCCUUCGAAAGCUAGUCAUGUACUAGUUGAAAAAUUGGCUAAGUCACCAAAGCAAGAAGUUAAAGGAGAAAAACUUUUGAAGAAAAAUUCCAAGCCUAUUGUUGAAGAAACAGCAAUAUCUUCGAAGGAGGUGAUACCUAUGAAAUCAGACAUGAUGAAACGGUUGAAGAAAAUGGCUCAUAAACCACGACAUUCACCUGAACGAUCAUCAAGCUUUUCUUCAACAGCAAGGGGGUUGUGAUUCGCGAAAUUCCAACACCAUUAUCUCCAGCUUCGAAGAAAAGGCGUGUUGAAGACAUGGACAAACAAAUUUCAAAGAAACAAAAGAAACAGAUGAAGUUGAUUGUCAAUGAAGACUCCAUGGAUGAUGAAGUAGUUCCUGAAUCUCCACUUAUAGGUGACAAAACGGGCAAUUCUUCACCUAUGAGGGGUUCUCCAGUCAAGUCGAAUCCUGAGGCGACUAGAAAUCCUUAUGGCAAUGUGGAAAUUUCUAAAGUCGACACAACCAUCAAUCAAAAUGAACAACCAAAGACUUCUACUCCUAAGCAGACUAUUGUCAAACCACUCGGAGUGUCGACUACCAAAUCAAUUCUUGAGGAGGUUCGCACUACAGGCAUCACUGCGAACAUAUCUAAUAUGGACGCAAAUGUAAAUAAGGGUGAUGGAGCAUCGAAUAAUGAACCCAAGGUAAUCCUUCUCUUCUAGUUUCUUCUACUUUUGAAAUAACUGUUGUUGAUACCACAGUCUCUCUACCACCAUUCCUUAUUCCUACUACAUCAGAAAUACCUACAUCAACCCACUCACCUACCUUCGAUAAUAUCAUGAAACAACCUAUUACUUCCUUAUUCCCAUCCCAAUCCACAGAAGGUCCAAAGACAGUUAAUAACGAUGAAACUGACGAUGGUGAGUUAAUGGGUUCAUUUGUGGACAUAGAGUUUAAUGUUGAAGAAGAAAACAUACCUGACCACAUUUUGAUGUCUGGAAAAUAGUUUAAGAUUCUAAAUAGGAACCUUAACUCUUUGCUCAAAUUACAAGCAAAUUCAAGGGGUAAACACUCAGUUUCAGGCAUAGAGGUAGAUGUGAUGCUGAAAGCUCAAGAGCAUCGUAUUCAAGACAAACUUGAUCAGAUGGACAAGAUCAAUGAGUUAGGAGUCCAAACUCAGUCAGAAAAGUUUAACGGUGCCCUUCAUGAAUUAAAGUCAAUUGCAAAAGAACGACAUGUUCUUUUCAUUCAAGAUGUCCAGACUGUUCGAGAAGAUGUAAAUCGAAAAAUUGAGGAGUUACGGGUUGACAUGGAAAAGGAGAUUAAGGACUUGACUCACAAUUAUUCUUCUCUUCUCACGAAGGUUGAUAUAAUUAUUGAGGUAGUGAUGAAAAUGGUUCAGUGGUAUAAUUCCAUGGCUCCAAAACUUGAUAAGAAGGCUGAAGCAAAUUUUACAAGUUUUAAGAAUGUUUCGAAGUUGUUGGGUGAACUAAAGGAUCAAGCAAUCAAAUUCGGAUCUUCGUUAUCUUCAUUACUUCUGAAUUCUUCACUCAGAAAUUUCGCAUGUUUGAGUCAACAAUUCACAAAGAAUUGGGUCCACUAGCGAAGUUUGCAAAUUUCAUGCCAACGGAUGGCCCGCCUAUUGUCAUAAGGAUGCAAGGGGGAGAAAGGAGAAAUGUUGGCAGUAGUAACGGCGAAGGAGGUUAUGGCAAUGCAUGUGGUGAUGUGAAAGUAGUUGGAAAAGUUUUAAGACUAAACUGCACAAAUGGUCCCUGUGGUUAGCUGAAAAUUGCCACUUUGGUCCAAAAAGGUUUGGACUAGCACCAAAGGUCCUAACUUUUCAUUUUGUUGUAAGUUUGGUCCAAUUUGCUUUUAACUUUUUUAUAAUGACGAAUUUUCCCUUAGCUUUUGCUUUUUCAGUUUUUUUUUUUUGUAUUUAUUUAAAUACUUUUAUAAUUAAAAGAAUAAUAAAAAUGAAAAUUUCUCUCUCUCUCGAACAGUUCAUAUCUUCUACCUGGUUUUUCAAGCAUAGGGGUACCUGGUUCCAUAUUCGAACAAUCCUUCAGCUUAAUAAUGUUACGAGAAGGGUCAGGAAGAUCAUCUAUAAGAACAUCAACAACUAAAGGGAUAGGAAUCGAAGAACUUGAACCAGAUUUAUCAAAUUUGCACUACCCUUCAAACUCAAAAAUCAAUAUUAUAGGAAUUUCACUUCUGUACUAAACUUUUUGACAAGUAAUGAAACCAAUUUAGGUUGCAAAGGGUCAAAAUGAUGAUUAUAGGUGUCAACAGGAACUAAUUUUGAGUCAAUAAUCAUUUUUGCACUUAUUUCCCCUUCCGAUGUAAGAACAUCGAGAUUCAGAUAUGGGGGAUACCCUCCAUGAAUAUGACCAACAACUAAAUCCAAGGAAAGAGGAGAAAAGGGCAUUCAAGACGAGAAGAUGAAGGAACCAAGGCACCCACCAGAAAGUCAACUACAACUCACCUGAAAUCUUCACUAUCAGAUUCUCCCUCUCGUUUUUCCAACAUCUCAGGUUUGAUUCGUUAAUUUUCCAUCAACAAGAAUCUUGGAGAACACACAAAAGGAUUUUGUUAUGGGUUUAGGGUCGGUUCAUCCAAGAGCAAAGAUCAUCCUCCUUAAAUCCCUGAUUUUGUUUUCGAUCAACAAAAAUCGAUUUUGAUCUUUGUUUUGAGGUAUGAUAAUGGAGGGGAAGCAAAAUGGAGGGGCUACCUUUUUUACAGUGUGAAUAUAUGUGUGUUUUUUAGGAAGACGAUGGGUGUGUGUUUAGGGAAGAAGAUAGGGUUGGUGGAGAUAUUUUGGCCUGUAAGAGAGAAAGAGAGAGAGAGUGAGAGAGAGAGAGGGAGAGAGAGAGACAAAGAAAGAGAAAGAGAGAGAGAGAUUUUCUUUUUUAUUUUUCUUUUAAUUAUAAAAGUGUUUAAAUAUAUAAAAAACUGAAAAAGCAAAAGGUAAGGACAAAAUAGUCAUUAUAAAAAAGUUCAAAGCAAAUUGGACCAAACUGGCAACUAAAUGAAAAGUUUGGGCCUCUGGUGCUAGUCCAAACCUUUUUGGACCAAAGUGGCAGUUUUCAGCUAACCAGAGGAACCAUUUGUCUAGUUUAGUCAAGUUUUAACUACUCAAAUUCCAACUUCCUUACCAAAACAUCUACGAUAACAUCAUCAACAACAACUACAACAAAACCAAUUACCAAGGGAAUUGUGAUUGGAUCUGCAAGUGGAGGUUCAAGUUCUUCGAAAAAACCUCCUACUACUCAAGAAAUGCAGAACAAAGGGAAGGGUAUUUCUACUGAGCUUUCUGUUGAAGAAAAGAAAGUUGCUCUGGAAAAAGAGAUAGAGAAACAAAAGCAAAUCCAGAGUAUUCUUCGUCAAAGAGAAAAUGACCCUCCUGGUCUCAACAAAGGUGAUCCUGCAAAGCUUUAUUCUUAUGAAUAUAUCGAAGCUUUAGUUGUUUCGGGGGAGAUGCACGAUUUUGGAAAAGUACUGAAGAAAAGCUACGAUACAAAGAACACUAACUUCAAUCAGUUAGACUUCCCAAUCAACAAAUUGAUGUUCAUUGAUGAGUAGUUUGAGAUUGCAGAUCAAUACAAAGACAAGAUUGAAUUCAAACGUAUGAAGUUUCGAUUCCAUGCAGUGCUUGGAAAAAGGGAGGAGGAGAUAUGGUCUUUAGUCAAGAUAGUUCAGGUUCUUAAUGUAUCCAGAGAUGUUUUAUUUGAGGAUAUGUUACAGAAUUAUCGAUAUCAUGCAUCUGGGCCAACAAUGUUGCAUUUGACUUCUCGGUUGCAGACUUCCCUUUAAUGAAUUUGUCUAAUCUGAUGAUUGUUGCGAAGAUAAUGAAGACUGUUGAUGUUUCGAAGCUGCAAGUAACAAACAAAGAAGAUUUUAUGAUGGGUUUUGCUCACUUGAAAGUGUUUAUUGAUGGAUAAUAUGGUUCUUUGGCAUUAACAGAUGUUGAGUUAGUGUUAGCAUUGGAUAAACUGAUAACUGUUCCUCAGUCCAUGUUAAAUACUAAAGCUAGCUUGAAAGAUUGUGAAGAUGGAGAGAUUUGCUUGAAACCUCUAGGAAUUGAGUUUGUUGGCAAAAACAAGAAGGGUAACAACACAAAAUUUAUGUUUCAAGUAUGUGAUGUUGAGAGGUAUCCUACUUCUCAUUACAUAAAUCUCUUGAUUCGAAUGAACAGAUGUGUUAAGAACAAUGAAAAGGAUAAAGAUGAAAUUCAAAAAAUGGUAAAUUGGUAUGUUGAAGUUCGAAGAGUUAUUCACCAAGUUGCUACAAUGUUGUCGUCUUAUAUUCGACACUUCUCACAAAAGGGGGAGAAUGAUGUCGAAUAGUGUUGUGAGGUGUCGAAUGUCUUGAAAAGUUUCAAUAGUUUGUAAUGUUAUUAUAAGGGCAUUUUUGUUUCGAAGCUUUCAUGUAAAGUCCCUUAUAUUUUUGUGUGCUUUCUGAAUCUCUAUAAACAGGGAGGUGUACUAGAGAUAAAGAAGCACUUUCGUGAUUUUGUCUAAACUCUCUUUGUACUUUGAAAGCAUAAUUGAGCCAAACAGACUUUAUUUAGAUCUCGUGUUCAUCAUUCUUACUUUACUCCGAUAUUGUAAUUCAAUUUCAAUUUCAUUAUAACAACACAUCAAUCCGCGGAUGGGGAUAAUGGUUCUUCAUUGUUAACUUAUUUAACUCCUGAUAAUCAAUGCACAUCUAGUGUGAACCAUCCUUCUUCUUAACGAAUAAAAUCGGUGCUCCCCACGGAGAACUGCUCGGACGGAUGAACUGCUUGUCUAGCAGCUCCUGCAGCUGAGAUGACAGCUCCUGCAUCUCAAGCGGUGCCAAUUGGUACGAUGCCUUGGCAAUAGGGGUCGCACCUGGCAUAAGGUCGAUACUAAACUCAACCUGCCUCUCAGGAGGCAUACUAGGUAACUCCUCCGGGAAUACAUCAGUAAACUCCCUAACAAUCGGAACAUCAGCAAGUGACACUUGAUCCCCAACCCGCCUGUCCACCACAUAAGCCAAAUAACCUGCACAUUCGUGUUGAAAAUAUUGUCGAGACCUGGCUGCCGAACAAAAACUUGAACCCAUCCUGGUUACCUCUCCAUAAACAUCUAGUGCUGUCUUGGCCUCCUCGGCGGUGAGUUGGAUAGCGCGACCUCGAGCCGUCGACGGCUCCGUCUUCCCCUGGCGCCCAUCUGUGAUCCUCAAAGUAACUGGCACGGGGGCCUACGCCGGCUUGGCGGCGAGCAAUGGACAGCUGACCUUCACAUGGCCAACCUAAUCACAAUGAUAGAAAAUCCUUGUACUCUGUAUUGGGGCUAACUGGCGACAAUCCCUCGCAUAGUUCCCCUCCUUUCCAUACUUGUGGCAUACUCCUCUUGAUCAACAUACAUCAUCAUGAACCUUUCCGCACUUCCCACAAGUACGGCCUCGCUGACCCCCAGACCUAGAAUCAGCGGCCUUGAACCGCUUUGGUGUCGGCUGCAACUGUGCCGAGGCCGGUCUCUGCUCACUCAACUAAAGCUCUAUCUUAAGCUCACGCCGCCUGGAGGCCUCCUACAACUCCAACAAAGAAUAAAACCACUAGGUAGAAACAAACUAUCUGAUAUCCAUCUUGAGCAUACUCAGAUAACUAGUCAUUUGAGCCUGCUCUGAAGCAAACUCAAGGCAAAACAUAGCCCUCUAAGUAAACAUCCGGGUGAUCUCCAUCACCAACUAUGAUCCCUACUUUAGGUCUAAAAAACUCCUCAGCCAACCUCUCUCGCUUGACUUGUGGAAUGUAGCGAGUAUGAAACAUCUCCAUGAACUGAUCCCAACAUAUCGCAGCCCUCUGCACAAUAGAAUACAAUCCUAUAACAAGUCUCCACUAAUCUUUCACGUCGGACCUCAGAAGGUUCAGAGCGCACCUGACCUUCUGGUCAGCAGGGCAUGAACUAGUAAAGAAACAUCCCUCCACAUCAGAUAGCCAUAUCAUGGCCACGAUCGGGUCUUGAACUCCAUGGAAAGUUGGGGCUUUAUAUUAUCCAAGUCUUGAUACUGAAAGACCCGCCCUGUCCCAACACCUACAGCCGCCACGACUGUGGAGGCUGCAGCAACAGCCGUCACAGCAAUGGGUGCAUAAGGAUCAUCAAAGAACUCCAUAAUCACGGUCUUGAUAGACCCGAACAUCUCCAGAAUCUGACCCCAGACAAUAGCAACCACCUCCUCGCGAAUGAUCUCCCUGACGCGAUCCUCUGACAAUACCGGCUCACCCAAUCUGGCGGCUCCUGAUCCCGAUCCGGGUCCGAUCUCAACUCGCCUCGUAGUCAACAUAUUGAAAAUACACUAGGAAGAUAUCAGAUAAUCCACAUAUCAUAACGGGGAACCAACUCCCAAUGAAGCCCUAGGGGUUGUGACUUACUUUUUACGCGUACGGGUCCUGCGCUUUCAGUAUUACGGGCCCAUACUACCUUCCAUCCCUACUCGUAUUUGUCUCAAGGAUCAUUACAACGCCCUAAAAAUAAUCAUAAGCAAAGAUGAACACUCAAUCCUCACUCCCUAGAGGAAAGGCUAAACAUCUCACGACUGGCCGGCUGACCUCACACAACUCAUCCAUGAAACUUCCACCAACCCUGCAGCACUCGUGUAUGCUAGCCAUACAUAACAUUGGACCCUAUACACAUUCAAAUAUCUGAUCCUACCCUAAGCCCUUCAUCAAACAACAAAAAGGAAAUAAGGUCAAACCAAACUUCUUAGGCUAUAAGAUCUUAGUUAUAUAUAACCAUGAUGCAUACACUAAGAAACUAUAGGAAUGAUGUCAAUUCCAUAAAAGAAAGGUCCUAGGCUAUCAUGCAUCAUAUAAUCAGACAAUUCUAUUAUGCAAUUCCUGAAGAUCCCUAGCCUAUUACUAGCAAGUUCUUCUAACAUAUCACAAUAUCAAGUAAUAGUAUGGUAUUUUGGUGUCUACUUACUGGCUCCGUUGAUCGUACACAUUGCAUCCUCCUUGAGUAUUUUGAAAACCAUUUGAAAAAAACCAUUUUGAACAUCUUUCCUUAGUUUGAGACUGGAUUCACAUGAGUGUUCCCCCAAUUCACUCAAACCAAGGCUCUGAUACCAACUUGUAACAUUCGAAAAAUUUUGGAAAAUUUUAAAAAUUUUAAACAACCACAAAACCAUCAUUUAUUACAAUUUGUUUUCAAAAUAAGUUUCACAUCAGAGUGUUCCCAGAAAUCAUAACACAAAACACGAGAAAGUGCAUGAUCAAGUCUUCACCUUCUCGCGAUCAUCUGAGGUACCUGAAACAUAAUCCAAAACUGUAAGCCCAAAGCUUAGUGAGUCUUCCCCAAAAUACCAACACAUCACGAAACUAGAAUAGUACAGCAAACAACAUGCACACAGAGCCUUCAGUCUGACUGGAACACCCCACCAGCCUACAGUCUAUCUGGUAUGCUUAUAGAACCUUAAGCAUGACUCGUACGCCAGCUCAAGCCUUCAACCUAUCUCGAACGUUCUCUGGGCCUUCGGCCUGAUUGGUACGCCCCACUGGCCUUCAGCCUAUCCGCAAAACCCCAGGUAUGUUGUCCUUCAGAACAAAGCAGGACCGCCUCAACCCAACCACACAUAACUUCUCGACAUAUACAUAACUCAUAAACAUAUAAUCAAUCAACAGACAAGCACAUACAGAUCUUACAGAUUUCUAAACAUACUGUCAUCCUAUCUACCAGAGUAUAAUUCCAACAUACCACAACAAUACUCAAUCAUACAAUAAUCAGGAUAACAAUCCAAAAGGGACGGCCUUGGUACCUUCGACCCAACAAGUACAGUGAGGAACACUAACCACACAAGUAGUUCAUAACUGAUAAAGUCCGACUCUAAUUCUUAGCUCCCGACUCAAAGCCUACAACCAUUAUGACUAACCCAUCAAAAUCACGAAAUUCCUAAAUUGCCCUCAAAAUUCCAACUUGGUCAACCAUGGUUCAAAGUCAAAGUCAAUGGUCAAGGUCAACAUUCCAUGUUGACCCAACUCAUCGAGUGCACCUCUGGAAAUCGUUGAGUUCUACAGUACUCAAAAAGUCAGGAAAAACCCUAGCCAACUCGCUGAGUUGUCAUGACAACUUGUUGAAUUUUCCCCAGCUUAACACAUACAACUGGUUCUUCGAUUCCACGGACUCUAAGGCUCAGAUCUAAACUCCAAAUGUGUCUAAAAGGAUAAAUUUUCCAACUUUAUCCUUUGGGACUACUCCAAAAGCUCAAAAUCCUUCCAUAAUGCUUGAAACCUUAAAGGCUUAACCAUUAAGCACAAAAUCCUUGAGAUCUGGAACCCAACCUUUCCAAAAGAGAUUCUAGUCUCAAAAACGUCCAAAAGGUUGGUGCUUUAUAGACAUGCAUGUCCAAUGCAUGUCUGGAACCCAAAAUGGGUCAAAAAGGAAAAUAUGACCUAAAAUUCCAUGCAUGGCAUCAAAGCUUGACAAAAGACCAGAUCCAACCCACUAUAAGACCACUUUGACCUAGAGAUUCAUAAAGUUGCAAACUUUAUGAAGUCCAUUCAUUGCAACAUCCAGGAAUUAGGAGAAAAAGAGACCAAACUCAAGAUCUAGCCGCAUACAUAGAUAAAAAUUGGAUCUUGAAUACUUACAACGGUCCAAAAGAGUGUCAAACUGAAGAUGAGAGCUUAGCUUGCAAGAUCCUUGCCUCGUUCUCUAAAUCUUCUCCUUCUUUUUCUCUAAUAUGCCGCACUAACUCACAAUACGAGAUGAAAUGAAGAUUAGGGUUCACAAGGCCGAUAUUAGGGUUUGGAGGCUGAUAAAAGAUCAACCUCAAGGACUUAAGGAGGUUAUAUAGGGUGCAAACCCUAAUAAUUAGGGUUUCAUACUCAUCCACCAACUCGUCGAGUUUUCCUCUCCAACUCGUUGAGUUGGUCCAAAAAGACGUACGGCCCAAAGCCUUUCAACACGUCGAGUUGGGCCAUCAAAUCGAUGAGUUCCGAAGGAAACUUACCUUUUGAAUAAUAAAUAUGAUACCUAGAAAUCGGAAUGUUACAGUUUACAUCUCAUGUUCAUGACUCUAAGUCAUUUAUUAGAUUCGAGAUCUAACAUAACAUCUUGGUAGUUAAUGGAUUUACUAGAAACCAUCAAGAAAAGCUCAUUAAUGAGAGAUUCCAUAUUUAUUUUGAAAGAGAGAGAGAUUCCAUAUUUCUCAAGUCAAAGAUGAUUCCUACCACUAAUGCGAACAAAUUUUGUUUGUGCUCAGCUAUUAUUCAAGUUUAACAAUCCCGUGCUAAAACAAGUGUCAACUGUUACUACAUCAAGUUAUUGUUCUUAAGCUGCUUCAAGUUCCACGUAGCUCUCACUUGCUUUGUCAUUGUAAGCUUGCUUUUUAUUAACUUAACUUUCACGGUAAUAAGAUAACUUAUUCUUGGUGGGUCUGCAUAUAAUAAUCUAACCCACAUUUAGAGUAUUAUACAAAUAUGUAUUUAGUAGAUUUUGGGUUUAGAAUCUUUAAUCCCACAUAGGCUUAAAAUCCACAAAACAUUUAUAUAAGAUAGGGAUGGAGCCUUUCAAUACAAAAUCUUAUAAAGAAAAUGUUUUAUCUACUUAUUAGUUAGUAGUGUACUCAAGAUAUAAUUGAUAGUGUUCUAGGUGUUAUCCCAAUGAAAUAAAAGGAACACAUUUCUACCGAUUAGAAAGUAAAUCAAACCAAGUAAGAUUUAAUUCAUCAUUUAUUAUCAUUAAGGCUUUAGAUAGUUCUUAAUGUUUUGUAUUUCAACUUUAUAUUUGAAACCUUCAACAUAUAUUUCACAAUUAUUUUUUAACAUGUAAACUAUAAUUUAUAACUAUUAUAGUUGUUAAUAAAGUUAAUUUGCUAUCUUGUGCUAAAUCUUAGAAAUUUAUUAGAAAGGAAAUCAUACAUCAUAGUGUGUAGUCCAUUAAUAAACUGUUUUCUCUAUUACUUAGUGAAAAUAUCAUUAUAAAUCUUUUAUAUAUAAAUAGAUCUCACAUAUUUCAAAUAAACUAUAUUAUAUGCCCUCAAAUAUCUCUUUCUUGAAGUUGAAAUAUGUGAAUGUCAUUUAUAUAAUAAAGAUAACAAUGUCAAAUAUGAGUUUGAUUUAAAAAAGAAUAAGUCACAAGUACUUUGCAUAUAGAAAUUAUGAUUUAUAAAACAUUGAUAUUUAUUUUAUAAUUCUUAUUAAGAGAUCUAGUCUCAUAAAAAGAAUUUUAAUCAUUUUCGAAUAUGAAGGUGAUCGUUAUGAAAAACGAUUUAAGUAAAUAGUCAAUCAUUCAUAAAUUAAAUUGAGACAUAUAUUUAGACAAGCUAAAUAAAAACAUACAUUGUUCCAAAACAAUCAUUGUUCUACAAUACAAGUACAUUAUGUUCCUAGCAUAAUUAAUAAACUAAACCCCGAGAGUAUAGUUCCAACUUUUUUUUUGAAGAGAUAUUUUUUUUAAAAAAAUAAGAAGAAAUUUUUACAUAGACGUAACGGGUAAACGAGCAACAACCUGUGCCGCAACCCAUUUUUGGAUGGCAAAACUAAUUCUUUUAAAAACAACAUCUAUAGAUCUUAGAGUCAGAAUAUUACUAUGCAUGACCCGUUGGACUCUAUUGAGUAGCUCCACUGCUUCUGGCACAAGGAAACAAAAAGUAUCAAAUGCAGAGGGUAUAAACGUGUGUUGAUUUUCCAUGCAAGCUUUCUCAUGUUUUGCCACUUUGCUUGAUGCAGCUUGUCCCAUAAUGAAAACCCUACUCCCCAGGCCCACAAGAGGGGAAACCCUUGUUAGAUCCACGCAUGCAUGUUUCCUCCAGCCCAUCCAAAUACUAAAACAUCAGCUAGUCUAAGUGUUGAUCUUCCUUCCAAUGGGUCGGUCAAAAAAUUCACAGGUGCCUCUUUCUUGGCAGAAACGCCAGCACGCCUAAAUAUAUCGAAAAGAACAUCCCUAACCAGAUCGUGUCGGUACUUAAAACCAAUGAGCUCAUUACAAUGAACUUCAUGCUCCCCAAAGGAGUCCAAACAUGCCUUACGACAAACAAGGAAAGUCUCGUCAGGCAGAAAUAAAGGGAUCAUAAAGCAAUACUUGAGGAUGGCACGAUACUCCACUGGCGACAUAUGCUGGCCAAGACCAUAAAUAGGAAUAGUCACAAGGAAAUCAUGAGCAUGUUGGGCCCUUAUACACUCAAAAAUUGCUUUCUUCUUAAUCAUCAUGUCGAAGUGAACUUCCAUGUCUUGGAAAAUUUUACUAAAAAGGGCAUUCUACAAUGAAUGUUGGGCUUUUGGAGGGGCAGUGUCUUUAUUAAUUAAACCGCUGAAAUCAAAGCCCGGACCUGGAAUCGUAACAUGAAGACAGGCCAAAGCAGAAACAUAAUCUGAAUCCAUACCACAUAUGCCACUAUUUCGUAAGAUGUGAUCUUGUAACGCCCACGAUUGAGCUCGUGAGGCAACAAAAGCAUAGGAGGAAGACUCUACUGCUGAGUACAACCCCAAAACACCGAGCCUAAUUGUUCACGAAGCUAGUCGCCAUUGAAGGUCCCCAAAGAACGGACCCCCGUAAACCACAAUGUCCUAAUUUGACCCACAUAUCCCUUUAUCAAAACACAAAGCAGCCUCUUCCAUAUGAACGGGUUGGCACGUUCUCGGGCCAAAGAAAAGUUUGGCAAUGCCCAUACAAGAUCGAAGCAAAAGGAGUUCACUAUGGGGAUCAUGUAACUGUGGUAGAAGGCGCAUCAAAUCUGUCACACCCCCAAACCCGACGGUGGAAACGUCCGGGGGUGGAUGACUUCAUUUGUAGUAUCACAACACAUGUAGCAUAGUAAUCAAAGUACAAACAACCAUUGCAUUAAUAUGUAUAAGUUUUUACAUGUGAUCAAUCAUUCAGAAAACAUAAUCGUUAUACAAAAGAAAAAGACAUGACUCAAAAUAGCUCCAUCUUCUCAAAAGCUCAGGGAGUACCUGUCUAUUAAUUCCCUGAGAAUACAAGUAAUUUGAAAAGAGAGUAUCAACAUAAAGUUGAGUGAGUGCAUAAGUAUUUAUGUUUGAAAGUAUGUUUUCUGUUCCUUGAAUAUGUAAACUGUUCCAGAAAAUCCUAUAUUUUCUGUUGUAAGUGCAAAGUAGUUUUAAUCUCAUAAAACCGUUUUGUUUGUAAACCAACGUUCUGUAUUUGUAUUCCUUUAUGUAAAACUUAUAAGUGUGAGUGUGCCUGGUUCCCCCAGCUGUUAUUGUAAAAUGUGACAUAAUACUGUAAAUUGUAUCAUGUAAACUAGUACUUAGAAAAUGUACUUAUGUUUAGUUAAUUAUACACUAAUGUAUUGUUAAUAUCUUUUUAAUGAGUUAUUAUAACCAUACUGAGACUAGAUGGCCUGACCCAAUGCUUUGAAGGCGUCAAAAACUGUUAUAACAACUGUCACUCGUAGGCGUGUAUGACUGACUGUAGCUAGCAGUCUGAGUGUGGGGUUGUCAAUCCCAAUUGUUUCGAUCCCUAGCUGGAGAUUCUGGUUAUAAUGUUAGGACUUUAACUAUGUUGUUUAAAUGAAUUAAACAACCCGAACCAAAUUACUCAUAAAAAGCAUAUAGACGUUACAUGUAUAAUAUUAUGAAAACCCAAUCAUUAUAAAAUGAAUUAUUAAUAGUAUGCCCCUGAAUUAGUAUAUGAUAGUUGUAUACUCUUGUUUAGUUUUGAAUCAAACCUUUGUUCUUGUAAACCAGUGUACUUUAGUAUACUUGAAUCGUGAAUUAAUAUUCUAUACUUGAAUCGUGAAUUAAUAUUCUAUGAAUCAUAAAUUAUACCUAUUAUAACUUAUAUGUACUUUCUGAAUUGAUACUAAGUGUUCAUGAAUGCAACCCUUCGCUCAACAUGUUACAAAGGGGUAUCUAAACCGAAUGAAAUAUCUUUUAUAUUUAUAUACAUAUACAAUUAUAUAUAAGUAAAAUUUAAUCGACAUUCGGACGAAUAACCAAUACUAUAGNUAAAAGAAGUUUAAUAUUUUGAAAUAUAUUUGGUGACUUGAUGUCAUUUUAACACAAUCUUUGAAACCAAUUGAUUUGAUGUUAACUAAAAUUCAUUUUGAUAAGAUAUUUUGAAACCAUUUGUUUAUAACACAUAAUCUUUGUGUUAAACUUGUAUUUCUCCCCCCCCCCCCCCCCUUUAAAACAGUAAAAACUAUGAAAAUAUGGGGGUAUGAACUCACCUUUUGGAUGGUGAUUCAACUAAUUGGCUUUACAAGAUAGAAAAAUAACGGGAUGUUACAUUAUCCNUAUAAAAAAUAACGGGAUGUUACAUUACCCCCCCGUUAGAGAGAAUUUCGUCCUGAAAUUUGGAUUAAAGAGAUAUAGAAAGAAUAGGGAAAAAGAUGUGGAUACUUCUGUUGCAUUUGAUCCUCCCGCUCCCAAGUGAAUUCAGGUCCCCGUUUUGAAUUCCAGCAAACCUUCACUAUCGGGAUACGGCUUUGUUUGAUUCUCUUUACAACCCUGUCUAAGAUCUCUACAGGUUCUUCCACAAAGUUGAGAUUCUCUUUUAUCUUGAUCUCAUCAAGUGGGAUAACAAGUGUCUCGUCGGAUAAGCACUUUUCAAGUUAGAGACGUGGAAGACAGGAUGUAUGUUACUUAGUUCUUGGGGUAGUCAGAGUUUGUAAGCUACUGGACCGAUUCUAGCAAGAAUCUCGAAUGGUCCUAUGUACCUUGGAUUCAGCUUGUCAUGCUUUCCAAAGCGUAUUAUGCCCUUCCAGGGUGAGACCUUCAACAAGACGCGGUCACCAACCUGGAAUUCCAAAGGUUUUCUCCAUUUUUUCAGCGUAGCUUUUCUGUCUAUCUCUGGAAGCUUUAAUUCGUUCCCGAAUUUGUACGAUUUUCUCCAUAGUUUCACUAAUGAUUUCUGGACCAAUGAGAAUAACGUUAGGAAUUUGACCUCUAGUUAGCUAUGUGUCACCCACUUCAUCCUAGCAUAGAGGUGAUCUGCACUUGCGGCCAUAGAGGGCUUCGAAAGGAGCAGCCCUUAUGCUAGUGUGAUAAUUGUUGUUGUAAGAGAAUUUGACAAGGAGUAAAUGAGUAUCCCAUGCCUUUCCAAAGUCUAUCACGCAAGCUUGCAACAGAUAUUCUAGAUUUUGAAUCGUCCUCUCACAUUGUUCGUCAGUUUGUGGAUGGUAGGUUGUACUCAUGUCCAACCUAGUUCCCAGAGAGUUUUGUAAAGACUGCCAGAAACGAGAAGUGAAUCUACUAUCUCAAUUAGAAAUAAUAGAUAUUGGCACACCAUGAAGUCUAACUAUUUCUAUGAUGUAAGUUCGUGUUAGCUUCUCCAUCUUGUCGAUUUCUUUUAUGGGCAAGAAGUGUGCGGAUUUGGUCAAUCUAUCGACGAUUAGCCAAAUAGUAUCAUAACCACCCGUUGUCUUGGGUAACUUAGUUAUGAAAUCCAUCGUAAUCGGCUCCCACUUCCAUUCAGGUAUUUCAUGUUGUUUCAAUAAACCUGAAGGUUUCUGGUACUCUACCUUAACUUUGGCACAAGUAAGGCAUUUGCCAACAAAGGUAGCAAUUUCGGCCUUCAUGUUAGGCCACCAAUAUAGUUUCUUGAGGUCCAGGUACAUUUUGUCUGAACCUGGAUGAAUGGAGUAUCGGUUUUCGUGUGCUUCAUUCAUAACCACGUCUCUGUAACCACCGAACUUUGGUGUCCUGAUUCGGUUCAUGAAACAAUAGACUCCAUCAUCCCUGACUUCGAAGUUCUUAUCCAUUCCUCUCAGGGUUUCACCUGCCAUGUUUUUGGGUUUCAAGGCCUCGAGUUGAGCCUCUCUGAUCUGUGUGGACAGAUGUGAAUGGAUUUUCAUGGUCAACGACUUUACUCGUCGUCCUGAAUAUUCUUUUCUGCUAAGGGCGUCAGCUACCACAUUGGCUUUACCAGGGUGAUAACGAAUCUCGCAUUCGUAAUCGUUCAGUAGCUCCACCCACCGUCGUUGCCUCAUGUUUAGUUCUUUUUGGUCGAAGAUAUGCUGAAGACAUUUAUGGUCCGUGAAUAAUGUACAUUUCAUGCCAUAUAGGUAAUGUCUCCAUAUCUUCAUAGCAAAUACUACUGCUCCUAGAUCAAGGUCAUGCGUUGUAUAGUUGACCUCAUGCGUCUUGAGCUGUCUCGAGGCGUAGGAUAUAACAUUUCCUCAUUGCAUCAAAACACAUCCAAGCCCUUGAUUAGAAGCAUCACAAUACACUACAAAGUCCUCUAUCCCUUCAGGUAGAGACAGGAUCGAUGCACUGCACAAAGCUUGUUUCAGCGUUUGGAACGUUGUUUCUUGCUUCUCUCCCCAACUAAAAGUUACAACCUUUUGUGUCAAGUUGGUAAGCGGUUUAGCGAUUUGGGAUAAAUUCUUGAUGAAUCUGCGAUAGUAGCCAGCAAGACCUAAGAAUUGACGGAUUUUUGUAGGUGUUUUGGGUGCUGACCAGUUCUCAAUUGCCUUAAUUUUGGAAGGUCCACAUGUAUUCCCUCCUGACUAACCACGUGACCCAGGAAAUCUACCUUCCUGAUCCAAAAUUCACAUUUUGAGAGCUUCGCAUAGAGCUUCUCUGUUCUGAGAGUUUCCAGUACUUGAAGAUGUUGGCCAUGAUCCUCUUCACUUCUUGAGUAGAUAAGGAUGUCGUCAAUGAAGACUAUGACAAAUUUGUCCAGGAAUGGACGACACACUCUGUUCAUCAAGUCCAUGAACACAACAGGUGCAUUCGUCAAUUCGAAUGGCAUCACUACAAACUCGUAAUGACCGUAACGAGUUCUGAACACGGUUUUGGGAAUGUCCUCAUCCAAAAUCCGUAAUUGAUGAUACCCGGAUCUUAAGUCUAUUUUCGAGAAGUAGCUCACACCUUGAAGUUGGUUGAACAGAUCUUCAAUGUGAGGCAGAGGAUAUCGAUUCUUGAUGGUAAGUUUAUUCAGCUCGCGGUAGUCUAUGCAUAUACGGAACAAUCCAUCCUUCUUCUUCACGAACAAAACCGGUGCUCCCCAGGGUGAGAAGCUUGGUCUUAUGAAACCCUUGCUAAGGAGUUUGUUCAGCUGGAUGGAUAAUUCCUGCAUUUCAGAAGGUGCAAGACGAUAGGGGGAUUUGGCUACAGGGGUAGCCCAAGGGAUUAAGUCGAUUCUGAAUUCGACUUGUCGUUCGGGAGGUACUCCUAGAAGGUCAUCGAGAAAGAUGUCGGGAAAGUUGCAGACCUCAGGAAUGCUCGUGAUGUUUUUCACUUCUUACUUUUUGUCUACCAUGUGAGCCAAGAAAGCACACUACUCCUUACAAAGGUACUUCUAUGCCUUGAUGUAAGAAAUGAUCUGAAGGUUCGUCUCGUGUUUAUCGUCGUAGAUAAUAUAAGUUUCCUUAGUUGGCAAGUUCAGGCGAAUAGCUCUAUCAUAGCAUAAGAUGUUAGCAUGGUUAGGGCACAACCAAUUCAUACCUAUUAUGAAGUCGAAGCUUUUGAUAGAGACCGACAUAAGGUCUAUUGGGAACGAAAAGUUGUUCAAGGUAAGGGUACAUCCUAUGUAUAUAUUAUUGGUGAAUUCGGAUUUCCCAUUAGCCAUUUCUACUGUGAAGGUUUCAUUUAGUGGUUGGGAGUUUUGAUUUAGCAGGUGUUUGAAAUUAUGGCUCACGAAGCUCCUCUCAGCACUAUAAUAAAAAAGAAUGCAUGCAUAAGUAUUGUUGAGAAGAAACGUACUCGUGACCACCACAGGAUCUGCCACGGCUUCUUCGUGACCCAUUGCCAGAAUUCUCCUAACUCCACCAGCAUUUCCAGCUUUCAGACAAUCUCUUUUGAAAUGCCUAACGUCACCGCAUCCAUAGCAUGCUUGACCUACUCUAGCGGCAGGUACUUGGUUGAUCGGUUGGGGUAGUGAUCUACAGAAUCGGGCAGUAUGCCCUUUUCUGUUGCAGUUAUCACACUGCAUUUCCUGGCUAUUUCCAUUGUGGUGAAAAACGCACUUUUUACAUUUGGGGAGAUUACCAACAUAAGGCUUAGUUGGUGCAAGAUUAGUAGGAACAGCAGUAGGUACAGUAGCAACAUGGACCGCCACUAGUUGUUGCUUUUUCGAGAGUUCUUGUGAAGAUUUUCCAUUCCUCUUAUUCCAAACUUUCUUGUUGUUGUUGUUGUUAUUGUUGUUUCCCUUGGGUUGCUCUGGGCUAGCAAUCAUAGAGUUUUGACCAGCUCCAUGGUCAAUGAGCGACUGUUCCAGUUCCUUGGCACCGUCAAAGGUAACAGGCCUGGAAGCUAUGAAACUUGCCUGAAUCUGGGGUGACAGCCCCUAAAUAUACCUCUCUAUCUUUUUGCUCUCCAGAGCAACCAUUUCUAGAAAAAUUGUCGCUAAGUCACAGAAUCGAUUUGUGUAGGUUGUUAUGUCCGAACCAACCAUAGUAAGACCCCAGAGCUCUUGCUCGAGCUUCUGAAUUUCCCUUACGGACAGUACUCCCGCAUCAGUAUGGUCUUUAAGUUAUCCCAAAUUAUAGAAUUAGCCACUACUAGAGUCAGUGACUUAACAUGGCCGUUCCACCAUGUUAGGGCUCUAUCAGUAAAGGUACAAGUAGCAAACUUAACCUUGCUACCUUCCGGGCAGGAGCAAAUCUCAAAGAUUGCCUCUGUUUUCUCAAUCCAUUGCCUUCAUGCCAUGGCACCUCCAGUCCCGUUAAAGAUCAUGGGUAUGGCAUUCGAGAAAUCCUUAUAGGUAUACUCUCGUGAGUGCCCGUGACUCUCGAUGUGGUUAGAGGGAUGCACACCAACUCCUGAUCCACUUGCACCAGGGGUGUUUAUAUGAGACAUAGCGNGCCGUAACCGUCGCCUGAAACAUGGCAGCGUCGAAUUGAGGAGGUGGUGGCGGAGGUGGUGUUGGCGCAUCACUAGCAGGGUUACGCCUUGGGUUUCUCCCAGGAGGCAUAUUUUACUAUAAAAGUUAAUAGAUGAAAAGAUGGUAAGAUAUCAAGAGUGAACAUGAAUAUAAUAUCUUUGAACUAAAACACUUAGUUCAAUAAGAAUCUUGUAGGGAAUUAGAAAUAGAAGUCUACUGCAAGUACAAUUUGCAACAGGAUAAUAUGAAAUUGAGUGGUUAUUUUUCAUAGAGUAUGAAAAUGCAUGUCAAUUAUAAUGGUAUAUUGAGUACAUAGAGUUUGGAAAACUUGACCUUAUACAGGUCUACAAUACACUACAUUACUGGAAAAACAUCGACAUCAAACCGACCUAUCGAAAAUGAAAUUUCCGCGGUCGCACUGAAAAACAUGAAAAAUAACGAUAGAACAUAUUCGUAGAAUUAACUAUAAACAAAAGAGUAAACAGAGGGCAAGUAGAGUAUAAUUUAUUUCUUAAACCAAAAGAAAGGAUGAGUAGAGCAUCUUCUACUAGCGACAGACACCUCUAGGAUGAACCCUUAAUUCGGGCAGCCGACGCUCCACAUCAAGCAGGUGUCUUUCAUACACUGUUUGGCGUGUUCAGAGCUCUAUGACUUUAGCUCGAGUUGGAGCUAGCUCUUGCUGUAGAGCCUCAUUGUCUCUCAUAGCUCCCCUAUGAGCAAACUCAAGAUUGCGAAUCCGCAUCAAGCUCCAUGGUUUGUUGAAUGGUUGUCAUUCCUAGCUCAACAUUUCGAGCCACUCGGUGAAUCAAGAUGGGAAGAAUCCUGUCUGCAGAGUCUCCAUCACUUAGGUUGUAGAAGCUUCGGUCUUUGUUGUAGGGUAAGGGUUGAACCUGCUCCCGACUCCACCUACCCAAGUUCUCAGCCCACGAAGGCGUCGAGCCUUAGAAGUUUUGUCGUAGAUUAGGAUUCUGGGAAACUGGUGGUGGAUUAUAGGCCUCUUAUUCAGAACCAGAAUAUUCAGGAAAGUUUUCUGCAAAAUCAUCAUCUAAGGGGAUUUCAUGAUUUUCUUCUAGCUCAUCCUCAAGCCAUCCUCCAUUUCCCUGAUUGGGAAAGUACGGGUCUCUGGGUAGAUGAAAUCCAGCCAUUGAUAUCUAAUCGAGAAUAGGGAUAAGAGAUAUAGAAUAUAAUUAGUAACGAUAAAUCGUAAAAAAAAGUUUCUACGAGAGAAACUAACAAAUAAUGAAUUAUGUAUGACUUGAUCUACGUGCUACUAUAACUACAAAGUGUAUACUAAUUAUAUAUAACUUGGGUAUAAUCGACCUUUGAUUAAAUGUUCAUGGUCUAAAUCCACAACCACUGGCGACAUAUGCUGGUCAAGACCGUAAAUAUGAAUAGUCAUAAGGAAAUCAUGAGCAUGUGGAACCCUUAUACACUCAAAAAUUGCUUUCUGCUUAAUCGUCAUGUCGAAGUGAACUUCCAUGUCUUGGACAAUUUUACUAAAAAGGGCACUCUCCAAUGAAUGUUGGGCUUUUGGAGGGGCAGUGUCCUUAUUAAUGAAACCGCUGAAAUCAAAGCCUAGAAUCGUAACACGAAGACAGGCCAAAGCAGAAACAUAAUCUGAAUUCAUACCACAUAUGCCGCUAUUUUGAAAGAUGUGGUCUUGUCACGCCCACGAUUGAGCUCGUGAGGCAACAAAAGCAUAGGAGGAAGCAUCAACUGCUGAGUACAACCCCAAACCACCGAGCCUAAUUGUUAACGAAGCCAGUCGCCAUUGAAGGUCCCCAAAGAACGGACCCCCAUAAACCACAAUGUCCUAAUUUGACCCACGUAUCCCUUUAUCAAAACACAAAGCAGCCUCUUCCAUAUGAACGGGUUGGCACGUUCUCGGGCCAAAGAAAAGUUUGGCAAUGCCCAUACAAGAUCAAAGUAAAAGGAGUUCACUCUGGGGAUCAUGUAACUGUGGUAGAAGGCGCAUCAAAUCUGUCACACCCCCAAACCCGACGGUGGAAACGUCCGGGGGUGGAUGACUUCAUUUGUAGUAUCACAACACAUGUAUCAUAGUAAUCAAAGUACAAACAACCAUUGCAUUAAUAUGUAUAAGUUUUUACAUGUGAUCAAUCAUUGUAUACUGAAAACAUAAUAGUUAUACAAAAGAAGAAGACAUGACUCAAAAUAGCUCCAUCUUCUCAAAAGCUCGGGGAGUGCCUGUCUAUUGAUUCCCUGAGAAUACAAGUAAUUUGAAAAGAGAGUAUCAACAUAAAGUUGAGUGAGUGCAUAAGUAUUUAUGUUUGAAAGUAUGUUUUCUGUUUCUUGAAUAUGAAAACUGUUCCAGAAAAUCCUAUAUUUUCUGUUUUAAGUGGAAAGUAGUUUUAAUCUCAUAAAACCGUUCUGUUUGUAAACCAAUGUUCUGUAGUUGUAUUCCUUUAUGUAAAACUUAUAACUGUGAGUGUGCCUGGUUCCCCCAUCUGUUAUUGUAAACUGUGACGUAAUACUGUAAAUUGUAUCCUAUAACUUGUACUAAGAAAAUGUACUUAUGUUUAGUUAAUUAUACACUAACGUAUUGUUAAUAUCUUUUUAAUGAGUUAUUAUAACCAUACUGAGACUAGAUGGCCUGACCCAACGCUUUGAAGGCAUCAAAAACUGUUGAUAACAACUGUCACUCGUAGGCAUGUAUGCCUGACUGUAGCUAGCAGUCCGAGUGCGGGGUUGUCAAUCCCAAUAUAGAUCUAUACACACAUUGUUUUGAUCCCCGGGUGGAGAUUCUGGUUAUAAUGUUAGGACUUUAACUAUGUUGUUUAAAUGAAUUAAACAACCUGAACCAAAUUACUCAUAAAAAGCAUAUAGACGUUACAUGUAUAAUAGUUAUGAAAACCCAAUCAUUCUGAAAUGAAUGAUUGAUAGUAUGCCCCUGAAUUAGUAUAUGAUAGUUGUAUACUCUUGUUUAGUUUUAAAUCAAACCUUUGUUCUUGUAAACCAGUGUACUUUAGUAUACCUGAAUCGUGAAUUAAUAUUCUAUGAAUCACAAAUUAUACCUAUUAUAAUUUAUAUGUACUUUCUGAAUUGAUACUAAGUGUUCAUGAAUGCAACCUUUCGCUCAACAUGUUACAAAGGGGUAUCUAAAUUGAAUGAAAUAUCUUUUAUAUUUAUAUACAUAUACAAUUAUAUAUAAAAAAAAAUUAAUCGACAUUCAGACAAAUAACUGAAAAGGAACCAAAGUGAGUUAUCAGUCCUAAGCCUCUUAAACCUUAUUUGUAUAAAUAUAUUUAUAUAUAAAUAUGAUUUCUGGGGAAAAAUAUCAGUUUAUAAAAUCAGUUAAACGAAGUUUAAUAUUUUGAAAUACAUUUGGUGACUUGAUGUCAUUUUAACAUAAUCUUUGAAACCAAUUGAUUUGAUGAUAACUGAAAUUCAUUUUGAUAAGAUAUUUUGAAACCAUUUGUUUAUAACACAUAAUCUUUGUGUUAAACUUGUAUCCCCCCCUCCCUUAAAACAGUAAAAACUAUGAAAAUACGGGGGUAUGAACUCACCUUUUGGAGGGUGAUUCAACUGAUGAAUUGAUAUAGGAUGCUAAGAAUGCCAAGUGACGUCUUAAACACAAAUGGAUCCUAUUAACCAUAUAAUGAUACAUAUAUGUGUAUAAUUAGUGUGUAUAACAACUAAUCAUGUAAGGUAAACAACCUUAGGUGUUAGGAAACACUUGAAAUGAAGUGUUACAAUCACAUAUGAUUGAAAGAAAGGAGUUCACGGCCACACUAUACGUGUUUACGGCUAUAGAGGUGUUUACGGCCACACACAUGAAGUGUUUACGGCCAAGACUUGUUCUUAUGAAGGGUUUACGGCCACCUCAAGAUCUUAUGAAGGGUUUACGGCCACCUCAAGAUCUUAUGAAGGGUUCACGGCCAUGGAUGAAGGGUUUAUGGUCAUGAACUCUUGAAGAUCAUGCACUUGGGUGUUUGUUUCUUGGCUGGAAUCAAGUGUUUCUAAUGUAUAACAAGAUAAUAGAAGAGUUACUCAUGUUUUGGAAGUCUUUAGGGAGUUUACGGCCCAAGAACAAGUGUGUGGUCUUGGUGUUCUUGGUGUAAAGGAUGAUGACUUGAAGAUCUAAACCAAAAGUGUUGAAUUCAUGGAUGAAAUCAAAGAGUUUCAUGUGAAUAAGAAGGAUAUCAAGUGAAUAUGGUAGAAUCACUUAGGAUUUUGAAGAGAAAGGAGAGUGUUCUUGAUGAUACUUGAGAGAGUUUUGAGAAUUCUUGACUUGAAGAUGUGAGAAAUGAAGAAUAAUGACGGAACACCAUACUUAUGAUGAGGAUUUCACGGCCAUCAUGAGUUCACGGCCGUAAACCCUCGUUUGCGGCUGUGAACUCUUUAUGAAGGUGUUUCCGACUCAAUUGCAACUCAAUGAUCUCAAGUUAAUACUUUCUAACACACAAUCCUUGAGUGUACUAGGCUUAGAACUCUCAAACAGACCCUUAACAAAGCUAUAAGUUAACAGAAACAAGUCUGACUUUUGAUUGAAUUGAUUGGCUUUACAAGAUAGAAAAAUAAUGGGAUGUUACAAAAUCAACAGCCUUGGCAGCCCUCUUCAUGGCUAACUCACUAAUAAAAUCCGCAUCUCUACUAGCAGCUCCCCCAAGAAGCUUCACCCCCACUGACGGUCACCCAAUAUCAAUAGGGAAUAAACCUGUACGAAGCUUCCUACCAUCGCAUGAAGGCCAAAAUAGCUUAGUUUUCUUGAUAUUCAGCUCAAGCCCCAAUCCUAGGCCUACCACCCUAAUGAUGUCCAAUACUCUAGCCAGCUCCUCUAAAUCUCUAGUGACGGUCCCAUCAUCGAGGUACCAAGCAUGAAGAAGAAGCUUGCAAUUGUCUCUAAUUUGAUGUAUAAGUGGGUGCAGUACAAGAGCAAAAAGAAGUGGUCCCAAAGGGUCGCCUUGCUAGACCCCAGUAGUGGACCAAAUAUGCUUAUCUCCCAAAUACAACCUUGUUGCAUGUCCAUAUAAGAAUUCAACCCAUAAGGAAAUGGAAGGGCACCUAAUCCUGACCUCAUGAAGUAAGUAAGUUCAAUCCACUAAAUUUAAGGCAUUCAAGAAAUCCACAGUAAGCAUAGCAAGAGAUCCAUCAUCAUGACGUGCACUCAACGCCCUACUGACACUAUGAAUUAUAGCUUCAGCGCCACCCGACACACCUACUCCAAAUUGAAAGUCAUUAAGGUAUUGUGCCAUUUCUUUACCAACUCCGUUCAUAGCAACCUUUGAGACCAAACGCCUCCAUAUAGUGCCUAUAGCAACAAGGCGGAUUUCAUUGUCAGGUUUUAGGAGCGGAGUAAGAGGUGCAGAUGCUACAAAUUCUGCUAGACAUGACAGACAUCUUCCCCUAGCCACAGAUUAACCAUUGCGGUGUUGGCAUGUAAUAGAUCUGUAGCUAUAGCAAACCCUUCCCCACAUAGAGCGUCCAAAAUGUGUUGAGCUCUCAAGCCGUCUCUCCCACACGAAGUUCCUUUAGGAAACAAUUUAAUACAACCAAUGACAUUGUCAAUGUAUACUAUAAGGGAAGGCUCAGAAUAAAUGGUGCUCGACAUGGAUGCUUAGCCUCUAAAGCUUUGGUAGUGUCACUAUCAUGUGAAGCAACACUCAAGGAGAACAACACUUUCACUGUUGCUGUAAAAUGUCCAUCAGCAACCUUACGGAGACACUGUCUGACGUUGGUGUUGCCCUUAGUUCUACCAUCUUGAAAGUGUUCAGCUUUUUGGCCCGAUGAGCCAAGACCUACAUUGUCAGACAUAUUUUCAACUAAUGUGACAAUACUGUCCUCUUUGCCCCAUGUAGCUAAAGAAUUCAAUAUGCAAUGAUUUUGUUCCCAGACCUACGUUCUUGUCUGUUAUUAGGCAUGAACACUUGCAAAGUACAUCAGGGAAGAAGCAAUAGCCUAACCCAUGAUUCCACAUACUCAGGGUGAGCGGCCACCUUAUUAAGAGUUGUUUGCAACACUUGAUAGAAAGCCACACAACAACUAUGAGGGAUACUUUUGAUGGUCGUGAUAGGCGCCUUGAAAACACGAUCAAGCAGUUCAGCAUCUAAAGCCAUCCCUCCAAGUGCUACGGUUUCAUUCCCUAUGGAAGCUGUCUAAAGUAUCCCUUUUCUAUAAAGCAUCCAAAGCCAUCCCUCCAAUUGCUAUGGUUUCAUGCCCUAUGGAAGUUGUCUAAAGCAGCUCAACUUGAUUGCUUUCAGUCGGUUAUUUUUCUGUAAAUAUCUGCAAGUCAUUUACAAAUACUAGAUUAGCAUUUAAGUACCAAUUAGUUGAGUGUUAUAUGAAAAGUAUAAGUUCUAUCUAGUAGAUACCUGAAGUACUAGUCUCUUCCAAACUUUCUUUCUAGGUAAGAGGAACAGUUCCUCUUCUAAUGUCCAGUUUCUCCACAAAAGAAACAACAUCCAUCUAUGUGGGCCUUAUUGGAUUUCUUGGGCUUAAAAGUGUUUAUUCCAUAAAACAUUGGCCUUUUUGAUCAUUUUAGUCUUGCACUAUUCUAAUGUUAGAACAAAAUAUCACUGUAUUUAUUGGAAUAUUGUUUAACAUGUUAUAUCANNNNNNNNNNNNNNGACUUCUUGGAAAUCAGGAAUAACUAUUCCAAGUUUAAUGUUAUAAUCAUCUUUAGCAUCACAGUGAUGCCUUUACUAGGUGUCAUGUUCAGGUUUAUUGCUCAAACCAAGUUGUUUAAGACUGACCUUUAAGUGUAUACAAUUCCACAUCUCUCACGAGAUUGUCUCUCAAGACAUCAACCCAUUCAUUGAAGUUGUAUCUAUUAAAUGUUAUUAUUUCAUUAAGCCAUUAAAGAAAAUGACAAUUCAUGGUAAUGAGAAUGGAUUAUUUUUCUACAAAAUUUUAACAAAAUUCAUUUAGUAUUUUUAAUAUGUAAUCUUUAAUAAUUAAUACCAUUUUAGUUUCCAAAAACAUUAAUUAUCAAAGUCUAGGAAUCAAGUUGCAAAAUAAAUGAAUGGUUAGGUAGCCUUUAUCUCAUGCAUUUGAGUUCAACCUGAUAGAUAUCGCUUAUCAAUUAUAUCUUACUAUAUAAAUCCCAGACUUAUGGGAUCGCUAAUAACAAAUUUAAUUAGACAUGUUUGAUCCCAUCUAUGCCUCGAAACUCUCUUUCUUAGGUAUCCUUUAUCACAAAAGAUUGCCAAUCAAAUCAUCUAAUUUAAAAAAUAUGUGUAAUCAUCCUAUAACUUGGUUAUAGAUAUAGCAAAGACACCUCGGCGAUCAAAAGAUAACACUAAGCGGUUACGUGUCAUUUAUCCUACUAGUGCAUACAAGAGAUGUGCGGGUGUUCUUCAAAAUGGAAUUCAUAGAUUUGAGGUUUGUAAAGGGUCUUUUAUAUGUUUUAUAAUUCUAGUUUUAAAAACAUAUGGUGUCAUGGUUAUUACAUGCAUGUAAUAAGCCAUGGUACAAAUUUUCAAAAGAAAAACAUUUUUAAAAGUUCAAAUAUAACAUCCGGUUUUAUAUUUUGACGAGGUUCAUUUUUAACGAUAAUAUCCAAUAUUAAGUUUGAGUUUGAUCCAUAUAGAACCUUAUUUAUUACUUAAUAAAACUUCAUUUUAUUAUUAAUAUGAUGGAGUUUGAGUAAGUUAUAAAAUCACCAUUUUAGACUUAUAAUUUUACAAUUUCAAAAUUUGAUGUUAUUAACAUUUUAAUAAAACUGGUUUUUAUUUUAAAGUUAUAACUUGUUACAUCUUAUGUUCUCAUUUUCUAAAUUGAAAACCAAACUCCAUGUGAUGUUUAUUUUGUCCAAAAAAUAGUUUGAGUUUGUGAAAAGCCAAAUUAUCAACCACACAAAAUAUUUACUUGAAAAAUGAAAAAUAAACAACACAAGAAUGCAUUUAACAUAAACAAACAUUGAUCUAGUUAACACUUUUGUGAGCCAACACAAAAGUGUUAAGUCAUUCCUAAGGGAUAAAGGGACCAAAUAUAACAACUUGUUCUUCAUGUGAUCUUCAAGCUCUCACUUGCAAUGACAACCAAAUUUGUUGCAAUUUUAUAAAGAUUUUAUAAAAGUUAUGAACUUUUAUAAAAUGUUCAUAAAACCGUGGGUCUCCAUGGUUCUUCAAGAAAUGACCUCCAUCUUCAUCUUGUUACAUAUUUUAUAAAAUAAAUCUAGUCUAAAACUAAUCUAUUACAUAAAAUAACAAGAAUAAAAAGUAGCUAUUAUUAUUAGAUAUUUUAUGAAUAAAAUAAUAUCACAAACCAUUUUUAACCAAAUCACACAAACAACAACACAAAUGGUCCAAUGCUUGUUUAUGCACUAUAAAAAUACAUAUAAAAAUAAAACAACCUUUGUUUUUAUAAGACAACUUUAAGUGACAAAAAAUACAUGUAAGUUUUUGUCAUAUAAAAUAACAAGUAAGAAGUUGUCAAAGAAAAUAUUAUGAACUUAUUUUUAUGCAAAAACAAGUUAUCCAUAUUCUCCAAAAACUAAGAUUUCCAAAAAUCAUAAAUUCUAACCAAACUUGUAAUGUGUCUCUGAUACUAAUUGUUGGGUUUUUAUUCAAAAAUAGUUUCAAAAAACACAAGAUAUUGGAAUGGAAGACUUUGAUUUUGAACAACAUAAAACAAGUUUAUAACCAAUCAUGGAUCUUCUUGCAAAGUUUGGAAUUAAAACAAGCACAAAAGAAGAAGAAGAAGAAGAGUUUAACAACCUUUGUAGACUUUGGAUCCUCUAAGGGAGGCUUGGAAGUUGAUGGAGAAUGGAUGAACCUUUGAGACACCAACAAUAACUCGACUUAAUUUAAGAUGAUGGUAUUGUAAAACUCUUAAGCUUUAAGUUUAUAACCAAUGUAUGAACUUAAAGAGAGAAACAUGCAGGUGUUCUUUCAAGUGUAAAAGCAAAAACAUGAGAGAAUGAGUAUGCCAAGCAUACUCAUGGUUUUGGCAUGUAAAAAGAUCAAAAAUAAAAGUCUUUCAUGCACUCUCUUAAAUUUAAAACAAUAUACAUGAGUCCUUAACCAAUUAAGCACACAUGUCAAAAAAAGAACUUAUCCUCUAUGUCUUUAAGAAAUAGCCAUGUUUUUUAUUAAACAAAUCAAAAGGUCAUGUUUCUUUUAUUCUUUCUUAUAAAUAAAGAAGAUAAAAGUUUAUAAAUUUUGUAAACUUCUUUUAUAAAAUAUAAAGUUUGGCUUUUGGCUAAAAGACAAAAGUCUUUCUAGUCCAAAAUAAUGUACAUGACUUAAUAAAUCAUAACAUAUGAUAUAUUAUGUUACUUGCUAAUAAAAAAUUAUUAUUUCCAAGAAUUAAAUAAUUUUCAAUUAAUUAUAAGAUUUUAUUGAAUAUUUAUUAAAAUCAGUUUCUAAUAAAUAAUAAAUUAUAUCAAGUUAUUAUUAGUGUGACCCAUUAGUAUCAUAUGUUAAUUAGCAAUAUCAUUUUAAUAUGAUUCUUGAGCAUACAAGAUCUUUCAAAGAUGAUUGUGUAGCUUAAUGGAUUAAGGGAUUAAUCUAUUAAGUUUUCCAAGAUCAAUUUAUACGACGUGGCUAUAUGUUCACCACUUCGUGACAUAUGAAGUUCUCGUAACCGUUUUGUCCGGAGAUUGCCACGUCGUGGCAAAUGAUGGGUCACGACAUAGUGGCCAACAAAGUUGUCUUUUGGGGUGUUGACUUUCACCGUUGAUCAUUUACUUUUUGAACAAUUUGACUUUUGGUCAAACCUUGGUAGAAUUGAGUGUUUAUCUAAGAUCUAGUCUCGGUUUCACAUUAGGUAGCUUGUGUUAGUUGUUCUGAUUGUCGAGGUUUGUUGUUAAGCUUCUGCUAGAUAGCUCAGGUGAGUUUUCUCACUAUACUUUUUACUACAAUAUGUUUCCUUGUGUGUAGAGUGUUGGUAUGUUUUAGUGAUCUGUUUGAUUGAUAUAUCUGUUAUGAUUACUUGUAUUGCUCACUAUUAUCUAUUUAUUUGUUUAUGUGCAUAUGUCUAUAUAUUGUGGUUAGUGGGGUUGAGGCGGUCCUACUUUGUGUUGUAGGUCAAGACACUCGGGCAGUCCAGUGUAUUGUAGGCCUUGCGAGGUGGUCCAGUCAGACUGUAGGCCCAAGGGAUCAAUCUAGCUAUUGUAGGCCUUGCUAGGUGUGCCAGUAGACUAUAGGCUCGGUAGAACAGUCCAGGCAUCCUGUUAGCCUUACGAGGCAGUCCAGGCAAACUGUAGGCUCAUGUGUGCAUGCAUUGUAUGUGUAUUGUUGUAUGAGGUAUUUUGGGGGAACUCACUAAGCUUUGGCUUAUAGUUGUGGAUUCAAAUGUUUUUCAGAUACUUUUCAGAUUUUGAAGGCGGGACUGUACACACGCACAUCAAUGAUUUUAUGUUUCGAGAUUCCGUAAUGUUUUCCUUAUAACUCUAAUUUUGAAUUAUGAUUUAUGAACAAAUGGUUUGACUGUUAAUGUAACUUUAUAAAAUGGGUGUUUAUUCUAUUCCAAAAAUGAAAAAUUUUACUAUGGUUUUGGGAUGUUACACAUGUAACAUAAACACAUAACAUAUAUUAGCAUAUUACAUACCCUUGGUAAUUAGUCCUCUCUAAUUACCCUGCAAUUAACCAAUUCUUUAAUAAGUCCUUCGCUAGUCAAUUAUACAAAUCUUGGUAACUGGCCUUUCCCAGUUACCCUAACCAAACAUAACUCCUAAUAGUAUCAUACAAACAACAGGCAAGACCCUACCGGUCUAGCAUACCAUGACACCAAGUGUCCUAAACUACACAUGCAUAACAAGGAGUUAUCCUAGUAAACUAGAUAUCGUACUCUAACAAUACCUCUGUUCUACCAUGCAAAGGAUAUACAGUGGGAUACGUGGCAUAGUGAGAAACUCACCUGAACCGAAGAAUCGGAGAAGCACAACAACACUCUCAUUCCUUGCACUGACCAAUCCCACAAACCGACUAAAACCAAAUAAAGAUCAAUCCUCAAUUAAGAACUCAAUUCCUUCAAGUUUAACUUAAGGUCAAACUGGUAAAAAGUCAAUGUUCAAUGGUCAACAAAAUUCAACGGUCAACCAAGGUUAACAGCCACCUCUUAGUUGUGCAGAGUCGCGAGGCUGAACCCCACCAUGACCUGGUGACCUCUUGUCCACGUAGUGGUUAUUGCUAAAAGUCAUUCUCAUUAAGAGUUUAAUCCUUACAGAUCAAGGCUCAAACUUCCAGAUAUGAUUCUUCUUAGUAAUUUAAUAGAUAAAGUUUCCAACUUUAUCCAUUAGGACCUUACCACAAGUCAAGAUCUUAAACCCUAAGUCAAUAAGUCCUUAAUAUGACCAAAACAUGUGCAUUGAACAAAGGGGACCAUGAGUUAACACUUUUUCCAUCAUAUAAGGCCAAAAGAUGGUCACCAAACAAGCCUAAGGUUCUAGAGUUUCCUAAAACUCCAAGAACAUUCCUUUAAAGUACUUCAAGGCAUGAAAUAAGAGAAUAGAAUGAUAAACGCGGAGGCUUUAUACCUUCCCAAGUUCCAUAAGAUGCACGAGAUGCAAUAUCUAAAGUAGAUACACUCUUCCAAUUAGCAAUCACACAUUUUUCUUCUUCUCAAGGUGCAAUCCAAGGCUUCAAACGUCAAGAACUCCAAGAACACAUCAAGAACGCUCAAAUGAGGCUAGGGUUUUCGAGAUAGAAAGGUGGAUGCUGAAGAGAAUGACCUAACCCUAAAGUUAAGGUCAUUAAAUAUGAAGGAAACCCUAAAAAUUGUAGGCUUGACCUGCAUCAGUCGUUAUGUCGUGGUGUCCAUCAGGACACGUGUCACUUUAGUCUCAUUCCACGUCGUUGUCAUCAACCAACCACAUGGUGGCAUAUGUUUUUUUUCUUUCCAAAAACCACAUCUUUGUCCUCCUUAAAUCUUUUUAAUUAGUCCGAUCUCAAAAAAGGAUGUGAUAGUAGUUACUAAAAUUUUAAUACUUUAUAAGUUCCACAUUCCUAAAAGAAUUCCCAACUAGUUCAAUCGUGUGGAUUAAACCCAUGCCUAUAAAAAAUAAAUCAAGUGAGUUAACGAACUAUCAUGAAAAAAUUUCUAUCAGUUUUCUCAUGUACUAUACCUGCUGCAUUAAGUACAUACAUAAGUAGCAAGACCGACAUGCUACAACGAACACAACCAUUUACGUAAAAGCGAUGCAUGUGAACAGUGAACUCUUCACCAUAUCCCCGUUUCAAAUUAAUCCCUUUGUCCUUCAUGCUACAAAAUUUAGUAAUUAGUAUCAAGCAUUAACAUUUGUACUUCACGUAUUAAGUCUUGUAAUUGACACGUGUCGAGAUAGAAGUAUGAUGAAUGAUUUAUUUUAUCCAAGAAUGUUCAAAUGAUAGCCAUGAUACAAUCCUUAGCCUGACAACCCUCAUGGAAUCUGUGGCCAACGUAACACUCCCGUGAAUGAUUUGGGUCGCAUUUGCCUACUUUGGAGCUACUCACAUUUCCAACCAAUAUACCAACAAAAUAAUAUGAUUAUUAAAGUGGCUAGCUUCAACCCAUGCUACCAAAAUAGUGAAACUCCAAAAAUUAAAAGGUUGUUAAUGAUUAAAUAGAUAAGAUUAAAAGUUCAACCCAUGCUACGAAAAUAGUGAAACUCCAAAAAUAAAAAGGUUGUUAAUGAUCAAAUAGAUAAGAUUAAAAGAUUGAUUAACGAAAGAAUAAGUCAAAUAGUUUGAAAACCACUUGAAAAAUAUGCAAGUGCUUUAAAGACCUUAUUUUAUUGAGAAAAUAAUCAUAAUAGCCAAAAUUUCAAGGUUUUUCUACAAAAUGGCAAAAAAAUGAAAAAAAAUUCACGUAUGAAAUCAUUUUUAUUUUCCAGUUUCAAAUAUUCAUAACUUUUUCAUAUUUUAUAGAAAUUUUUUGAGCUAAAAUGUUUUUUAUUAUGCUCUUUCUAACAACUUUCUAUGGACAUAUUACAUUUUAAAUUUGGAUGUUGCAAAAUCAUAUUUUAUUAACUUCAAAGUAGACUAUUUGGUGAAAAAAAUAUUAAAAAAACAAACAAGCAAACAAAGUUAACUUUUGAUCAUUCAUAAAUUUUGCAUACAAACUUCCUUUGGAUUGAUUUUUUUUUAUUGUGUUCUUUGUAACAAAGGAUAUUCAUAAACAUAUUACACUCCUAAUUUGGAUGUAAGGAAAGUCAAAUUUUUGUAACUCCAAACUAGGUUAUUCGAUGAAAAAAUAUGAAGAUUUGUUUUAUAAAUUUCGAAUAUAGACUUCAUAACAAUCACCGGGCCAUCUCGAUCAAUCACAAUAGUGAACUGAAAAAAUCUCAAAAAAAAAUGGAGGAACCUAGAUUUUAAUAGAUGGUGUCUGCGAAAUUGUGGCCAUUAUAGUUAAUUUUAUCUGAUUUUUGCUUAUUUUGUAGAAAAAAAACUUAGGAAAUUUGGUUAUUAUGUUUUAUUUUGUUUGUUGUAAUAUAAAAAAAAAUGUUAAAUGACAGUUAAUACUAUGUCGUCUAAAUUUCAUUCAGUUUGAUCUUUUGUCGACGAAUAUGUUUUUACCAAAAAAAUAUCACUAAAUGUUUCAAGACAUAAAUGUCAACUCAAGAGACUGAAAAACUUAAAUUAAAUCCAAUAAUUCAAAAGAACAGUAGUAGAAUCUGGAAGUUAGUAACUUAGUAUCAAAUAAAGAUAAAUUAUAAUAUCUUAUUAUUUGGGUAAAUUAUAAUACAAAAAUUAUAAUUAAGCAGAAAUUAAAAAAAAAAUGAGAAAUUAAAUAUUCUCCUACUUUUUGUUCCUAUAUAUCCUCCUACACCAUAAAAUGGUGACAUGUGUAAUAAUUAAUGCUCAUUUAAUGAGAUUUAAUGAUAUUUUAGGAUAUUAAUAUAACACAUAUCAUCAUUUAAAUGGGUAGAAGGAUUGAUAGGAUAGAAAAAUAUUAUUAUCAAUAAAAAAAAUAUUAAAUAGAAAUAAACCGAAAAUAAUCAAAAUUUGUUAUCAUUAAAUAAAAAAGUCUAAAUUUCGGAACAAAUUUAAAGAUCGUGAGUUCCAAUAUUAAUUUAUGUCAAAACUGUUUCUUUUGCGGUUACGAUGUUUUUUUUACAAUAGCUGAAUAGCUCAUUCACUGCUAGUUUGGUUUGGAGUUAUACUGGUUUUUGCAUGAUUGACAUAAUGAAUCCAAACCCUCGUGAAUAAUUCCCCUAUAAAAACAACUGCUUCUUCACCAGUAGAACUUACACAAUUUCCAGAAUGUCUUCAUGGGUUUCAUUCAUGGUGGUGCUCCUUUGUUUCUCCAUUAAUGGCGUCGCGGAUGCCAGACACCGGAAACAGCUGCACUCUCCAGCCAUUGUCGUCGGAACUGUCUAUUGUGACACUUGCUUCCGUCAAAAAGUAUCCAAAUCCACCCAUUUCAUUUCAGGUUCUUGUCGUUCAUCUUGUGAUAUGUACGUAUAUUGGUUUAUCUAGGGGGUUUUUUUUGUUAAUGGGUGUUGUAUUGUUUGUUUAGGUGCGAAGGUGGCGGUGGAAUGCGGCGGCGAUGGUGGGAAGCAGAGUUUCCGGGUAGAAGUGAAGACGAACGAGAAGGGUGAGUUUGAAGCUAAACUGCCGGUUUCAGUUGGUAGAAGUGUGGAGAAAAUCAAAGGGUGUUCAGUGAGAUUGAUUAGCAGCGGCCAGCCGUACUGUGCGGUGGCUGCCACCGCCACAUCGUCGGAGAUUCGUUUUAAGUCGAAGAAGGCGGGGACUCAUGUUUUCUCAGCUGGGUUUUUCACUUUUAAGCCCGAAUUGUGUAACCAGAAAGAUACUAUCGGAAAAGGUUUUCCACCGGCGCUUCCUGAUAUUCCUGCGCCGUUCUUGCCGCCGAUCGGUGGAGGUAUUUUACCUCCUCUUCCGGUGCCGGAUGUACCCAUGCCACCUCUAAUUCCCCCGCUACCACAGCUCCCUGGUAUUCCACUUCCACCUGUUACCCGCCAAAAAUCAUCGGAAUCCGAUAGAUUGGCCGAUCAAAAAAGUUUUGGUUUCCCGUUUCCACCGCCACUGUUCCCACCGCUGCCGUUUGUGCCAUCGCCGCCGUCAUUGAUUCCUCCCGUCAUUCCAACACCACCACCGUCACUGUUCCCUCCCCUCGUUCCAUCAACACCACCAUCAUUGUUUCCUCCCCUCGUUCCAUCACCACCAUCAUCGAUGUUUCCACCAUUGCCCUUUCCACCUGUACCAGGUUUGAUUCCAUCACCGCCGCCGCCACCACCGCCGGCGUUCCCAAUUCCUCUGCCUCCACUACCUCCGCUACCUCCGCUACCUCCAGUACCUCCGGUACCAGGAGUCCCACCGGCGAAAACCUCCCCUUGAUUAAACUCGUAUAUAUUUAAUAUUAUUACUGCAUAACCUUUUGAAGUAACCUUUCCAUACAUACGCGCGUAUUACAAUUAUGGGUAUUGUAAUUGUAGCAUGAAUAAAUCGUACAUGGUAAAAUGGUUGGGAUUCCUAUAAAUAGUUUAAAAUUUUUGAGAUCCAAUUAUGCGUUCUGAGUAUUGUUUAAUAGAUAGCAUU